Molecule: ribosomal RNA, 454 nt
Filed under: uncultured bacterium
Lineage: Bacteria
Description: partial 16S ribosomal RNA
Rfam family: Bacterial small subunit ribosomal RNA
Source: RNAcentral
GAUGAACGCUGACAGAAUGCUUAACACAUGCAAGUCCACUUGAACUUCGGUUUGGGUGGCGGACGGGUGAGUAACGCGUAAAGAACUUGCCUCACAGCUAGGGACAACAUUUGGAAACGAAUGCUAAUACCUGAUAUUAUGAUUAUAUGGCAUCGUAUAAUUAUGAAAGCUAUAUGCGCUGUGAGAGAGCUUUGCGUCCCAUUAGCUAGUUGGAGGGGUAACAGCUCACCAAGGCGAUGAUGGGUAGCCGGCCUGAGAGGGUGAUCGGCCACAAGGGGACUGAGACACGGCCCUUACUCCUACGGGAGGCAGCAGUGGGGAAUAUUGGACAAUGGACCGAGAGUCUGAUCCAGUAAUUCUGUGUGCACGAUGAAGUUUUUCGGAAUGUAAAGUGCUUUCAGUUGGGAAGAAAAAAAUGACGGUACCAACAGAAGAAGUGACGGCUAAAUACGUG